UGGGGAAUAUUGCACAAUGGGCGCAAGCCUGAUGCAGCCAUGCCGCGUGUGUGAAGAAGGCCUUCGGGUUGUAAAGCACUUUCAGCGAGGAGGAAGGUGGUGAACUUAAUACGUUCAUCAAUUGACGUUACUCGCAGAAGAAGCACCGGCUAACUCCGUGCCAGCAGCCGCGGUAAUACGGAGGGUGCAAGCGUUAAUCGGAAUUACUGGGCGUAAAGCGCACGCAGGCGGUUUGUUAAGUCAGAUGUGAAAUCCCCGGGCUCAACCUGGGAACUGCAUUUGAAACUGGCAAGCUAGAGUCUCGUAGAGGGGGGCUAGAAUUCCAGGUGUAGCGGUGAAAUGCGUAGAGAUCUGGAGGAAUACCGGUGGCGAAGGCGGCCCCCCUGGACGAAGACUGACGCUCAGGUGCGAAAAGGCGUGGGGGCAGCAAAACAGGAUUAGAUACCCCUGGUAGUCCACGCUGUAAAACGAUGUCGAUUUUGGAGGUUGUGCCCCUUGAGGCGUGGNUUCCGGAGCUAACGCGUUAAAUCGACCGCCUGGGGAGUANGGCCNCAAGGUUAAAACUAAAUGAAUUGCGGGUCUAGCUGUUCC
This 591-nucleotide ribosomal RNA is filed under the name uncultured bacterium. RNAcentral describes it as "partial 16S ribosomal RNA". It matches the Rfam family "Bacterial small subunit ribosomal RNA", at positions 355 to 936 of the family's 1533-position model. The record is from RNAcentral.